This 400-nucleotide ribosomal RNA is filed under the name Ixodida sp. RNAcentral describes it as "partial large subunit ribosomal RNA". Lineage: Eukaryota; Metazoa; Arthropoda; Arachnida; Ixodida. The record is from RNAcentral.
CAAUAGAUUUUAAUUGAUGCUAAAAGAAUGGAAAUUUAAAAAAAAACUUUUUUAAAAAUAAAAAUUGAAUUUUUUUUAAUUUGUGCAAAAACAAUUAUAUUUAUUAAAGACAAGAAGACCCUAAGAAUUUAAGAUUUUACAAUUAAAAAGUUUUUUUUUUAAAAUCUUGAUUGGGGCGAUCAAAAAAUAUUAAUAACUUUUUAAAAUUUAAAUUGAUCUAUUAUUAAUAAACUAAUGAAUUAAAUACUCUAGGGAUAACAGCGAAAUAAUUUUUGAUAAAUCUUAUUGACAAAAUAGUUUGCGACCUCGAUGUUGGAUUAGGAUUCUUUUUUAAUGAAAAAGUUAAAAAAAGAAGUUUGUUCAACUUUUAAAUUCCUACUUGAUCUGAGUCCAAACCGGA